Molecule: ribosomal RNA, 253 nt
Filed under: uncultured bacterium
Lineage: Bacteria
Description: partial 16S ribosomal RNA
Rfam family: Bacterial small subunit ribosomal RNA
Source: RNAcentral
UACGUAGGUGGCAAGCGUUGUCCGGACUUACUGGGCGUAAAGAGCACGCAGGCGGUCAGAUAAGUCGAAUGUGAAAGCCCCCGGCUCAACUGGGGAGGGUCAUUCGAUACUGUUCGACUCGAAGGCAGGAGAGGGAAGUGGAAUUCCCGGUGUAGUGGUGAAAUGCGUAGAUAUCGGGAAGAACACCCGUGGCGAAGGCGGCUCUCUGGGACGGUACUGACGCUGAGACGCGAAAGCGUGGGGAGCAAACAGG